This 467-nucleotide ribosomal RNA is filed under the name uncultured bacterium. Its description in RNAcentral is "partial 16S ribosomal RNA". It matches the Rfam family "Bacterial small subunit ribosomal RNA", at positions 28 to 507 of the family's 1533-position model. The record is from RNAcentral.
GACGAACGCUGGCGGCGUGCUUAACACAUGCAAGUCGAACGGAAAGGCCUCUUUCGGGGGGUACUCGAGUGGCGAACGGGUGAGUAACACGUGAGUAACCUGCCCUUGACUUUGGGAUAACUUCAGGAAGCUGGGGCUAAUACCGGAUAGGAGCUCCUGCUGCAUGGUGGGGGUUGGAAAGUUUCGGCGGUUGGGGAUGGACUCGCGGCUUAUCAGCUUGUUGGUGGGGUAGUGGCUUACCAAGGCUUUGACGGGUAGCCGGCCUGAGAGGGUGACCGGCCACAUUGGGACUGAGAUACGGCCCAGACUCCUACGGGAGGCAGCAGUGGGGAAUAUUGCACAAUGGGUGGAAGCCUGAUGCAGCAACGCCGUGUGCGGGAUGACGGCCUUCGGGUUGUAAACCGCUUUCGCUCAUGACGAAGCUUUGUGUGACGGUAGUGGGUAAAGAAGCACCGGCUAACUACGUG